RNAcentral lists this ribosomal RNA (346 nucleotides) under uncultured bacterium. Its description in RNAcentral is "partial 16S ribosomal RNA". It matches the Rfam family "Bacterial small subunit ribosomal RNA", at positions 338 to 681 of the family's 1533-position model. The record is from RNAcentral.
CCUACGGGAGGCAGCAGUGAGGAAUAGUGGUCAAUGGACGAGAGUCUGAACCAGCCAAGUAGCGUGAAGGAUGACUGCCCUAUGGGUUGUAAACUUCUUUUAUAUGGGAAUAAAAUGUUCCACGGGUGGGAUUUUGUAUGGACCAUAUGAAUAAGGAUCGGCUAACUCCGUGCCAGCAGCCGCGGUAAUACGGAGGAGCCGAGCGUUAUCCGGAUUUAUUGGGUUUAAAGGGAGCGUAGGUGGAUUGUUAAGUCAGUUGUGAAAGUUUGCGGCUCAACCGUAAAAUUUCAGUUGAAACUGGCAGUCUUGCGUACAGUCGAGGUGGGCGGAUUUCGUGGUGUAGCGG